GGAUGUGCAGGCGAUCUGACUACGACAUCUGUCACCCCAUUGAUCGCCAGAGUUGAUUGGGCUGAUCUGACUGGCUAGGUGGGUGUCCCCUUUCUUCCCUCACUGCUUGCUCCGUGUGCAUCUUUCCAGAAGUUGCUCCCAAGGAAGCUGCUCCCUUGGUUGAUCAAAGAGGAUGGCCUUCCCCGAAUAGAGAAGGACUGGUCUUGGGUCAAUGUUAUAUGAGUAGCUGCGCUCCCUUGCUAGAACCUUCAAACAAGCUCUCAAGAAACACCUAUUUACGGCAUUCUCCUUCAACGAGGGAGGCCAAUUCCAGGAGUUGAUCUCAACAAGAUAAUUU
This is an unclassified non-coding RNA of Mesocricetus auratus (golden hamster), 337 nucleotides long. Its record names the gene 7SK. It matches the Rfam family "7SK RNA". From Rfam's summary of the family: 7SK was discovered as an abundant small nuclear RNA in the mid-70s but a possible function has only recently been suggested. The record is from Ensembl. Lineage: Eukaryota; Metazoa; Chordata; Mammalia; Rodentia; Cricetidae.